Non-coding RNA from Callithrix jacchus (white-tufted-ear marmoset), 2679 nucleotides. NCBI's taxonomy places the organism in Eukaryota, Metazoa, Chordata, Mammalia, Primates, Cebidae. The record is from RefSeq and is a predicted model, not a curated record.
UCCGCAUCCCGCUCGCUGGGAGAGAGGUACAUCUCCUUUUUCCUCUCCCUUUCCCUAAGGAGUGGAGUCAACAUAUCAAUGGAGCAAGUCACAGUCGUCGAUGCCAGCUUCUUCUUGAAAUCUACCCAGAAUGGAAUCCUGACAAUGAUACAGGACAUACAAUGGGUGAUCCAUUCAUGUUGCAGCAGUCUACAAAUCCAGCACCAGGAAUUCUGGGACCUCCACCUCCCUCGUUUCAUCUUGGGGGACCAGCAGUUGGGCCAAGAGGAAAUCUGGGUGCUGGAAAUGGAAACCUGCAGGGCACAUGCAAAAAGGCAGAGUGGAAACUAGCAGAGUUGUUCACAUCAUGGAUUUUCAACGAGGGAAAAACUUGAGAUAUCAGCUGUUACAACUGGUGGAACCAUUUGGAGUCAUUUCAAAUCAUCUGAUUCUAAAUAAAAUUAAUGAGGCAUUUAUUGAAAUGGCAACCACAGAGGAUGCUCAGGCCGCGGUGGAUUAUUAUACAACCACACCAGCGUUAGUAUUUGGCAAGCCAGUGAGAGUUCAUUUAUCCCAGAAGUAUAAAAGAAUAAAGAAACCUGAAGGAAAGCCAGAUCAGAAGUUUGAUCAAAAGCAAGAGCUUGGACGUGUGAUACACUCAGCAAUUUGCCUCAUUCUGGCUAUUCUGACAGUGCUGUCCUCAAGCUUGCUGAGCCCUAUGGGAAAAUAAAGAAUUACAUAUUGAUGAGGAUGAAAAGUCAGGCUUUUAUUGAGAUGGAGACAAGAGAAGAUGCAAUGGCAAUGGUUGACCAUUGUUUGAAAAAAGCUCUUUGGUUUCAGGGGAGAUGUGUGAAGGUUGACCUGUCUGAGAAAUAUAAAAAACUGGUACUGAGGAUUCCCAACAGAGGCAUUGAUUUACUGAAAAAAGAUAAAUCCCGGAAAAGAUCUUAUUCUCCAGACGGCAAAGAAUCUCCAAGUGAUAAGAAAUCUAAGACUGAUGGUUCCCAGAAGACUGAAAGUUCAACCGAAGGUAAAGAACAAGAAGAGAAGUCCGGUGACGAUGGUGAGAAAGACACAAAGGAUGACCAGACAGAGCAGGAACCUAAUAUGCUUCUUGAAUCUGAAGAUGAACUACUUGUCGAUGAAGAAGAAGCAGCAGCACUGCUAGAAAGUGGCAGUUCAGUGGGAGACGAGGCCGAUCUUGCUAAUUUAGGUGAUGUGACUUCUGAUGGAAAAAAGGAAUCUUCAGAAAAAGCUGUGAAAAAAGAUGCAAGUGCUUCAGCAGCAGCAAAGAAAAAGCUUAAAAAGGUGGACAAGAUCGAGGAACUUGAUCAAGAAAAUGAAGCAGCGUUGGAAAAUGGAAUUAAAAAUGAGGAAAAUACAGAACCAGGUGCUGAAUCCGCUGAGAACGCUGAAGAUCCCAACAAAGAUACAAGUGAAAAUGCAGAUGGUCAAAGUGAUGAGAACAAGGAGGACUAUACAAUCCCAGAUGAGUAUAGAAUUGGACCGUAUCAGCCCAACGUUCCUGUUGGUAUAGACUAUGUGAUACCUAAAACAGGGUUUUACUGUAAGCUGUGUUCACUCUUUUAUACAAAUGAAGAAGUUGCAAAGAAUACUCACUGCAGCAGCCUUCCUCAUUAUCAGAAAUUAAAGAAAUUUCUGAAUAAAUUGGCAGAAGAACGCAGGCAGAAGAAGGAAACUUAAGAUGUGCAAGAAGAUUAAAUGAUUUCAAAGAAAAUAAUGGUUCUUUGUUUUUAAUGUUAACCUUUUUUAAAUACAAUACUGAUAGUUAGAAGAAAAUUAUUGUACUCUUUUGUAGUGGAGAAAUAAUAGAUGUCUGUUCAUGUGUUAAGUGUUAUAGCAAAAAAAAAUGCAUACAGUUAAGUUAAUGAAUAGUUUUUGUUUUAUCAGAAUGGCAACAGACUGAAGUACUUUGUAGAGAUUGACUUUGUAAGCUAAUACUUAAGACAACUUGCACCAGUAAGAAAAUGUAGAACCAUUUGGAAAAAUGAAAUUUAGUAUUUCCAAGUUUCAAAGAAAUGUCAACAUUUUGUUCCAUUCAAUAAAGAACAAAACUAAUAGUAUUUUUAUUACUUUCAUCUGAAACAUUCCAUGUUUUAAUCUGAGCCUUGCAGACUUUUCAUUUGGAGUUUGAACCUGUUUUGGUGCAUUUCAUUUUUGGAGAACUUCAUCAAUGUGAGAUUGGCAAUUCAGAUGCAGGUGCAGUUUUCUGUUGAUGUCAUGCUGUUGUUUAGGUAAUAAGAAAUAUUAAGUAAUUGGCUUUAGAUUUUGUAAUUUUUUUCCCUGAGUUUGUAUUCUAGUAGUCAAUGUAUUUUCAGUGAAAUGUAAAAAUAUUCCCGUUCUCUUUGACCAGUAUUAAUUUUUGAGAUCUUAUUGCUUGUCACUUGAAUCCCAUAAUUGUCAUACAUCUCUGGUAUAAGCAACAUUUAAUUUUUGAAGUGUGUAGACGAUCUCUUCAUAUUUUCAAGAUGUAAUUUUACAGUUCUGCAUUUUAAAAAGUUUGGCCAUAAUCCUAGAUGCACGCUUCUAAUUCAUGUACCUGCACAUGUGACCUUUGUGAACAGAAAUUUGCAUGUAUAAUUUGUGUUUACUUGUAACUUUCUGGUUAUAUACUGCUUAUAUCUGUGGAUUCAAGUUACUGAAGUGAAUACCAAUAAAAAAAAACUUAGGCCAUGUUCA